Molecule: ribosomal RNA, 496 nt
Filed under: uncultured bacterium
Lineage: Bacteria
Description: partial 16S ribosomal RNA
Rfam family: Bacterial small subunit ribosomal RNA
Source: RNAcentral
AUUGAACGCUGGCGGCACGCUUUACACAUGCAAGUCGAACGGUAGAGGGGGCAACCCCUUGAGAGUGGCGAACGGGUGAGUAAUGCAUCGGAACGUGCCCAGUCGUGGGGGAUAACGCAGCGAAAGCUGUGCUAAUACCGCAUACGAUCUCUGGAUGAAAGCGGGGGACCGAAAGGCCUCGCGCGAUUGGAGCGGCCGAUGUCAGAUUAGGUAGUUGGUGGGGUAAAGGCUCACCCAGCCAACGAUCUGUAGCUGGUCUGAGAGGACGACCAGCCACACUGGAACGGAGACAGGGCCCAGACGACUACGGGAGGCAGCAAGGGGGAAUUUUGGACAAUGGGCGCAAGCCUGUUCCAGCAAUGCCGCGUGCGGGAAGAAGGCCUUCGGGUUGUAAACUGCUUUUGUACGGAACGAAAAGGUCUGGGUUAAUACCCUGGGCACAUGACGGUACCGUAAGAAUAAGCACCGGCUAACUACGUGCCAGCAGCCGCCGUAA